UAGUCCACGCUGUAAACGAUGAGAACUUGUUGUUGGGUGCAUAGAGGCACUUAGUAACGGAGCUAACGCGUUAAGUUCUCCGCCUGGGGAGUACGGCCGCAAGGCUAAAACUCAAAGGAAUUGACAGGGGCCCGCACAAGCGGUGGAGCAUGCGGUUUAAUUCGAUGCAACGCGAAGAACCUUACCUACUCUUGAAUCCACGGAAUCUUGCAGAGAUGCGAGAGUGCCUUCGGGAAUCGUGAGACAGGUGCUGCAUGGCUGUCGUCAGCUCGUGUCGUGAGAUGUUGGGUUAAGUCCCGUAACGAGCGCAACCCUUAUCCUUAGUUACCAUCAAUUCGGUUGGGGACUCUAGGGAGACUGCCGGUGAUAAACCGGGAGGAAGGUGGGGACGACGUCAAGUCAUCAUGGGCCCUUACGAGUAGGGGCUACACGCGUGCUACAAUGGGCCGGUACAACGGGGUUGCGAAGACGCGAGUCGGGAGCUAAUCCUCUAAAGGCCGGGU
RNAcentral lists this ribosomal RNA (503 nucleotides) under uncultured bacterium. Its description in RNAcentral is "bacterial SSU rRNA". It matches the Rfam family "Bacterial small subunit ribosomal RNA", at positions 791 to 1287 of the family's 1533-position model. The record is from RNAcentral.